RNAcentral lists this non-coding RNA (72 nucleotides) under unclassified sequences. RNAcentral describes it as "DUF3800-X RNA". It matches the Rfam family "DUF3800-X RNA". The record is from Rfam by way of RNAcentral.
UGGUGAGUAAGGCUCCCAGAAAGAAUGAUGUCCGUGGACGCGGGAUGGGAUCAAGUAAGGGGAGGUUCACCA